UUUUUUUUUUUUUUUUGCAUUCUUUAGGCCUAUCAGUAAAUCAAGCAAUAUGCGAGAAUGUGUAAGUAACUAAUUUAAAGCUGUGGUUUGUAUGUUAGUUUAAAGAAAAGAAGUCCAUGCAAGUAUGCAAAGCCUUAACAAGCCGUUUUAUUUAUUUUUUAUUUUUUUACUCCUGCUAUGGACCUCUUUUUAAGCAGAGUCUUGAAUAAAAUAAAGUUGAGUUGAUAGGGCGCCGAUUUUAAAUUUAUAAAAAGCAAGCAAGUAAGCUUGCCAUGAUACAACGGGAACGUUUAUAAAAACAAUUAGGUUUAAAACCAAGUAUUUGCAGAGUUAAAAAAAGGAAAAGCUAUAUUAAGUUUUGUGAAGGUUUGUUAAGUUUUAAAGUGUUAAGAGUUUUUUUUUUUAAGAAAGCUAAAGUAGAAUAAGUACACGCGUUAGUCACUUUUCCUGCGACAAGGUUAUGAUUGCCUAUACAGACAUCAGACUAUUUGUUAAACAAAACUCUAUGUUUAUGUAUCAAUCCCUAUCCAAAUAAAUAAUACUUAUUAUCAUAAGUUAUCAAAAUAAUAGGUCAAGCCAUUAACAAAGCGAACGUUGUGGGACAACGGUCUCUUUGAAUUGCUCAAAAAUAACUGCAAAAAGCGGGAAACGUUGGUGGGAGUGUAGGGUGCAGAGUUACAAAUUAACCCCAUCCACAGGGGAUAAAUUAGGCCAGCCAAUCCCACCAAGACAGCAUUAUAACUUAAUUCCAUUGAGAAGCCAUGAUCUAUGGACAGGAAACACUCGAAGAACUGGGCAGCCUAUCAGGUAUGUAAUUUGCUAGGCCUAUAGUUUAAUUUUGCAUUUAUAACUACAUGUAUAAGAAAAUUAUUAAGGCUCGACGUCUUGAUUUAUUUCUCAGAUUUAGAAGAGUUGCUGUUCGCGACAGACGCACCCGAUGCGACGCUUCACGUGUUUGACCCAUCAAAAUUUAAUCUUGCAUGCAGCCAGGAAGGGUCUAUUCGUCAGAGUACGUUUGUCAGUUCUGUGUGUGUGUGUGUACUUUUAAAAUGUUUAUUUAUUUAUUUAUCCGCUUUUAGCCUACAAUCAGACAGAAUCGACACCCGUAGUCGCGGAUUUGGAACAGCCAACGCAAUUGGUAGAAGCACAGGUUCACGCAGCAGUGGACACCGAAAUAUACAACUUUCUACAGAACCCUGAAAGUCAACCAGAAGUGGUCACUGAGGCCCCGACGUCUUCAACGGAUACCGUUUCGGUACACUUUCCAAGUCUGAAGAAAAAACGCGAGAAUAGCAUUUCAGACUUCAACACGGAUCUUCUAGACGUGGAACUGGAUCGAGAAGCGCUGCUUCAACCUUCCGAGGAGGCACCGAGCCCCGGAGUCGCAACACCAUCAGAGGGCGCAACGCCAGGAGCAAUACCCCCGACAAACGUG
Anguilla anguilla (European eel) is the source of this 1435-nucleotide long non-coding RNA. RefSeq lists it as uncharacterized. The transcript has 3 exons. NCBI's taxonomy places the organism in Eukaryota, Metazoa, Chordata, Actinopteri, Anguilliformes, Anguillidae. The record is from RefSeq and is a predicted model, not a curated record.